This 22-nucleotide microRNA is filed under the name Drosophila melanogaster (fruit fly). RNAcentral's name for it is "dme-miR-9383-3p". The record is from miRBase by way of RNAcentral. Lineage: Eukaryota; Metazoa; Arthropoda; Insecta; Diptera; Drosophilidae.
UUCGCCUUCAAUCUGAACCCCG